Molecule: transfer RNA, 76 nt
Filed under: Pseudomonadota bacterium
Lineage: Bacteria; Pseudomonadati; Pseudomonadota
Description: Proteobacteria bacterium tRNA-Trp
Rfam family: tRNA
About the family: Transfer RNA (tRNA) molecules are approximately 80 nucleotides in length. Their secondary structure includes four short double-helical elements and three loops (D, anti-codon, and T loops). Further hydrogen bonds mediate the characteristic L-shaped molecular structure. tRNAs have two regions of fundamental functional importance: the anti-codon, which is responsible for specific mRNA codon recognition, and the 3' end, to which the tRNAs corresponding amino acid is attached (by aminoacyl-tRNA synthetases). tRNAs cope with the degeneracy of the genetic code in two manners: having more than one tRNA (with a specific anti-codon) for a particular amino acid; and 'wobble' base-pairing, i.e. permitting non-standard base-pairing at the 3rd anti-codon position.
Source: RNAcentral
AGGGGUGUAGCUCAAUUGGUAGAGCAGUGGUCUCCAAAACCAAAGGUUGAGGGUUCAAGUCCUUUCACCCCUGCCA